GAGGGUAUAGCUCAGUGGUAGAGUAUGUGCUUAGCAUGCACAAGGUCCUAGGUUCAAUCCCCAGUACUUCCA
RNAcentral lists this transfer RNA (72 nucleotides) under Camelus bactrianus (Bactrian camel). It matches the Rfam family "tRNA". Rfam says of the family: Transfer RNA (tRNA) molecules are approximately 80 nucleotides in length. Their secondary structure includes four short double-helical elements and three loops (D, anti-codon, and T loops). Further hydrogen bonds mediate the characteristic L-shaped molecular structure. tRNAs have two regions of fundamental functional importance: the anti-codon, which is responsible for specific mRNA codon recognition, and the 3' end, to which the tRNAs corresponding amino acid is attached (by aminoacyl-tRNA synthetases). tRNAs cope with the degeneracy of the genetic code in two manners: having more than one tRNA (with a specific anti-codon) for a particular amino acid; and 'wobble' base-pairing, i.e. permitting non-standard base-pairing at the 3rd anti-codon position. Lineage: Eukaryota; Metazoa; Chordata; Mammalia; Artiodactyla; Camelidae. RNAcentral also lists the same sequence under 2 other names. The record is from Rfam by way of RNAcentral.